GAUGAACGCUGACAGAAUGCUUAACACAUGCAAGUCGAUGGGGAAGUGGUGCUUGCACCAUGGCAACCAUGGCGGACGGGUGAGUAACGCGUAAGGGACUUACCUGCAGGACUGGGAUAACAGGGGGAAACUCCUGACAAGACCGGAUAAUGUCAUGGAGCUGCAUGGCUUUAUGAUGAAAGGAGACGCCUGCGGAGAGCCUUGCGUCCUAUUAGCUAGUUGGUGAGGUAAUGGCGCACCAAGGCGAAGAUAGGUAGCCGGCCUGAGAGGGUGGACGGCCACAAGGGGACUGAGAUACGGCCCUUACUCCUACGGGAGGCAGCAGUGGGGAAUAUUGGACAAUGGGGGCAACCCUGAUCCAGCAAUUCUGUGUGCACGAAGAAGGUUUUCGGAUUGUAAAGUGCUUUCAGCAGGGAAGAAGUAAGUGACGGUACCUGCAGAAGAAGCGACGGCUAAAUACGUG
This 463-nucleotide ribosomal RNA is filed under the name uncultured bacterium. RNAcentral's name for it is "partial 16S ribosomal RNA". It matches the Rfam family "Bacterial small subunit ribosomal RNA", at positions 28 to 507 of the family's 1533-position model. The record is from RNAcentral.